RNAcentral lists this ribosomal RNA (500 nucleotides) under uncultured bacterium. RNAcentral describes it as "partial 16S ribosomal RNA". It matches the Rfam family "Bacterial small subunit ribosomal RNA", at positions 30 to 523 of the family's 1533-position model. The record is from RNAcentral.
AUUGAACGCUGGCGGCAGGCCUAACACAUGCAAGUCGAGCGGUUGAGGGGAGCUUGCUCCCUGAUUCAGCGGCGGACGGGUGAGUAAUGCCUAGGAAUCUGCCUAUUAGUGGGGGACAACGUUUCGAAAGGAACGCUAAUACCGCAUACGUCCUACGGGAGAAAGCAGGGGACCUUCGGGCCUUGCGCUAAUAGAUGAGCCUAGGUCGGAUUAGCUUGUUGGUGAGGUAAUGGCUCACCAAGGGGACGAUCCGUAACUGGUCUGAGAGGAUGAUCAGUCAGACUGGAACUGGGACACGGUCCAGACUCCUACGGGAGGCAGCAGUGGGGAAUAUUGGACAAUGGGCGAAAGCCUGAUCCAGCCAUGCCGCGUGUGUGAAGAAGGUCUUCGGAUUGUAAAGCACCUUAAGUUGGGAGGAAGGGUUGUAGAUUAAUACUCUGCAAUUUUGACGUUACCGACAGAAUAAGCACCGGCUAACUCUGUGCCAGCCGCCGCAGUAA